CGAGUGGGCGGGACGGUCGCCUGAUCGGUGAAUUUUCAUCGCGCGGGAGGAAAGUCCGGGCUCCAUAGGACAGGGUGGUCGGUAACCCCGACCGGCUGUGAGGCUAGGGCUAGUGCAGCAGAAAGCAAACCGCCAAACGGCAUGGUUCGCCAUGUGCGUGGUAAGGGUGAAACGGUGCGGUAAGAGCGCACCAGCGUUGGAGGCGACUUCAGCGGCUUGGUAAACCCCACCCGGAGCUAGACCAAACAGAAAGGAACGUCGGUGAAUGCCGGCGGCGAGUCGGUUCGCCUCGCUUGACUUUCGGGUAGGUCGCUAGAGGCGGCGAGCAAUCGUCGUCCCAGAUAAAUGAUCGUCACCAAUCAAACGCUGCACGCAGUUUUUGAAUGGGACAGAACCCGGCUUACAAACCCACUCGCUCA
This 419-nucleotide RNase P RNA is filed under the name Roseimaritima multifibrata. RNAcentral's name for it is "Bacterial RNase P class A". It matches the Rfam family "Bacterial RNase P class A". From Rfam's summary of the family: Ribonuclease P (RNase P) is a ubiquitous endoribonuclease, found in archaea, bacteria and eukarya as well as chloroplasts and mitochondria. Its best characterised activity is the generation of mature 5'-ends of tRNAs by cleaving the 5'-leader elements of precursor-tRNAs. Cellular RNase Ps are ribonucleoproteins. Lineage: Bacteria; Pseudomonadati; Planctomycetota; Planctomycetia; Pirellulales; Pirellulaceae. The record is from Rfam by way of RNAcentral.